UACAUUUUGAAAGUUAAUUUAGAUAAAUUCAAUAUCUAUAGAAUUUUAUUCGUCAUUAAAUGACCCAAUUAAUCGGUCCCGUGAGAUCAAAAUGAUUUAAACAGCUGUUAAACUUUACAAAUCAUAAAAUUAUUUUAUUACGCUCACAGUAUUUGGGUCAUCCAGAAACGGAAUGACAAUUUUAUCUGAAUCAUCUACGAAGUAAGUAAAUUGAAAGCGAACGGGAAACAAGGAAAAAUAGGCUGAUUGCAAGAUAUAAAUUACUACGUCCAAAAAGACAGCCCCAUCAGCAUCAGUAGUGAAAUUCCAAAACAAAAUGGAACAGAAGACCACUUCCCCCGGGAAGGCAAAUCAACCAUUCGCUGCUCGACCGAGGGCUGACGGCCCGACAUUUACCAUAGUUCUCGCUGAGCACUAUAGUAGGACUCAGUCCAACACAGUCGACGAAGAAGCAACAAACAACAGUGACUGUGGAUGGGAGGACCGAUAUGGCAAGUCAUCGUGGAUGGCCAGAACAGAGGACUGACGAAAUGGAGACACGGAACCGUUGCCACCCUAUCGGAGUGAUGAAACGUCUAAUAAUCAUAAGCAAACGAAACAAUAUCAAUAAUGCGGCGUAAUUCAUCGGCACAGUUAAUUUUUUGACAGUGUACUACUACUGGUGACAUGGACUUGAAAAUUUUUAAUUCAACCUAAUUGAAUACUUUACGGUGACGUCACUAAUAAAUUCGACCAUUCAUUUUUUACAGUCCGCUUGUAUUGUUUACAUGGUCUUAGAAAAAAUUCUUUGCGAUUUGCUUCGAGCGAAUCUAGUUGUCCGCAAAAUUUUUCUAAGUCCAUGUAAACAGUACAAGCGAACUGUCAAGAAAAGUGAGGUUAACUAAAGUA
Molecule: long non-coding RNA, 888 nt
Organism: Topomyia yanbarensis
Lineage: Eukaryota; Metazoa; Arthropoda; Insecta; Diptera; Culicidae
Exons: 3
Source: RefSeq, a predicted model, not a curated record